CCUACGGGUGGCAGCAGUGAGGAAUAUUGGUCAAUGGGCGAGAGCCUGAUCCAGCCACGUCGCGUGAAGGAUGAAUGCCCUACGGGUUGUAACCUUCUUUUAUAAAGGAAUAAAGUGAGGCACGUGUGCAUUUUUGUCUGUACUUCAUGAAUCAGGAUCGGCUAACUACGUGCCAGCAGCCGCGGUAAUACGGAGGAUCCGAGCGUUAUCCGGAUUUAUUGGGGUUAAAGGGAGCGUAGAUGGGUUUGUAAGUCAGUUGUGAAAGUUUGCGGCUCAACCGUAAGAUUGCAAUUGAUACUGGCAGUCUUGAGUACAGUUGAGGUAGGCGGAAUUCGUGGUGUAGCGGUGAAAUGCUUAGAUAUCACGAAGAACUCCGAUUGCGAAGGCAGCUUACUAAACUAUAACUGACACUGAAGCACGAAAGCGUGGGGAUCAAACAGGAUUAGAUACCCCUGUAGUC
This 460-nucleotide ribosomal RNA is filed under the name uncultured bacterium. Its description in RNAcentral is "partial 16S ribosomal RNA". It matches the Rfam family "Bacterial small subunit ribosomal RNA", at positions 338 to 795 of the family's 1533-position model. The record is from RNAcentral.